RNAcentral lists this ribosomal RNA (592 nucleotides) under uncultured marine bacterium. RNAcentral's name for it is "bacterial SSU rRNA". It matches the Rfam family "Bacterial small subunit ribosomal RNA", at positions 8 to 649 of the family's 1533-position model. The record is from RNAcentral.
AGAGUUUGAUCUGGCUCAGAACGAACGCUGGCGGCAGGCCUAAUACAUGCAAGUCGAACGAACCUUCGGGUGAGUGGCGCACGGGUGAGUAACACGUGGGAACGUACCCUUCACUGCGGAACAACGUCGGGAAACUGACGCUAAUACCGCAUAAUGUCUCCGGACCAAAGAUUUAUCGGUGAAGGAUCGGCCCGCGUUAGAUUAGGUUGUUGGUGGGGUAAUGGCCUACCAAGCCUACGAUCUAUAGCUGGUCUUAGAGGAUGAUCAGCCACACUGGGACUGAGACACGGCCCAGACUCCUACGGGAGGCAGCAGUAAGGAAUAUUGGACAAUGGGCGCAAGCUUGAUCCAGCCAUGCCGCGUGAGUGACGAAGGCCUUAGGGUUGUAAAGCUCUUUCAGGUGCGAAGAUAAUGACUGUAACACCAGAAGAAGCCCCGGCUAAAUUCGUGCCAGCAGCCGCGGUAAUACGAAUGGGGCGAGCGUUGUUCGGAAUCACUGGGCGUAAAGCGUAUGCAGGCGGACAUGCAAGUCAGAAGUGAAAUCCCAGGGCUUAACCCUGGAAUGGCUUUUGAAACUGCAUGUCUAGAGUCU